Molecule: ribosomal RNA, 254 nt
Filed under: uncultured prokaryote
Description: partial 16S ribosomal RNA
Rfam family: Bacterial small subunit ribosomal RNA
Source: RNAcentral
UACGGAGGAUGCGAGCGUUAUCCGGAUUUAUUGGGUUUAAAGGGUGCGUAGGCGGCCUUGUAAGUCAGCGGUGAAAUUUUGCAGCUUAACUGUAAAAGUGCCGUUGAUACUGUGAGGCUAGGAUUUGGUUGCUGUGGGUGGAAUGUGUGGUGUAGCGGUGAAAUGCUUAGAGAUCACACAGAAUAUCGAUUGCAAAGGCAGCUCACAAAGCCAAGAUUGACGCUGAGGCACGAAAGUGUGGGGAUCAAACAGGA